Molecule: microRNA precursor, 172 nt
Filed under: Schistosoma mansoni
Lineage: Eukaryota; Metazoa; Platyhelminthes; Trematoda; Strigeidida; Schistosomatidae
Description: microRNA sma-mir-8408 precursor
Source: miRBase by way of RNAcentral
GAGUCAUGUUCAUAAAAGUGAAAUGAUUACUCAUUUUAUAACCUACGUAAUUAUAUUAUACUAUAUAUAUAUUAUUAUUAUUAUACCUCAUUAUAUUUUAACAAAACAUUAUCUUUAGUUCUAAUAUGAAUAUUUCAGGUCAUUCAUAAGUAAUACCACUUGUGAACAUUAU